RNAcentral lists this ribosomal RNA (505 nucleotides) under uncultured bacterium. RNAcentral's name for it is "partial 16S ribosomal RNA". It matches the Rfam family "Bacterial small subunit ribosomal RNA", at positions 28 to 507 of the family's 1533-position model. The record is from RNAcentral.
GACGAACGCUGGCGGCGUGCCUAAUGCAUGCAAGUAGAACGCACAGUUUAUACCGUAGCUUGCUACACCAUAGACUGUGAGUUGCGAACGGGUGAGUAACGCGUAGGUAACCUGCCUGGUAGCGGGGGAUAACUAUUGGAAACGAUAGCUAAUACCGCAUAAUAUUAAUUAUUGCAUGAUAAUUAAUUGAAAGGUGCAAUUGCACCACUACCAGAUGGACCUGCGUUGUAUUAGCUAGUAGGUGAGGUAACGGCUCACCUAGGCGACGAUACAUAGCCGACCUGAGAGGGUGAUCGGCCACACUGGGACUGAGACACGGCCCAGACUCCUACGGGAGGCAGCAGUAGGGAAUCUUCGGCAAUGGACGAAAGUCUGACCGAGCAACGCCGCGUGAGUGAAGAAGGUUUUCGGAUCGUAAAGCUCUGUUGUAAGAGAAGAACGGGUGUGAGAGUGGAAAGUUCACACUGUGACGGUAUCUUACCAGAAAGGGACGGCUAACUACGUG